UAUCACGUGCCAUGUCUCUAAAACGUAGUUGACGUUUACCAUUUUGGGCGUGGUGUUCAAGAACCCUAGAUAUCAAAUUAUAUGAAUAGAAAGUCACCAAUGCUCCGAUCACCAAGCAUGAGAUCCCAGCCGUCCAUCCAAGGAAGGUGAAUGCAUAAGGAAGACUUAGAAGAGUUGGUGCCACUAUCGAUGUGGUCAAAUGGUAUCCACAAUGCAACCAAGAACCUGCAAAAUUACAAACAAUAAUAUAUUAAUCAAAUAAUAACCAUACAAAUUAUUUGAAAAUGAAUAUAUUAAAACAAAUUAAAUUUUAAAUUCAACUUAAUCUUACCAAAUUAUCUAAAAAUUAAGUUUUAUACUCGUCUGUCUAUAUAUUAAAUAUUGAUUUUAUAUUUGUAAUUAAGGUAUGAUUUUUAAUAUUUUUUAAAUUAAAAUCAUAUAUAAAACUAAAUACUUAUACGUAGAUUUAUAAAAAAUUAAUAAAUAAAAAAAAUUAUUAUAAUAAAUUUUAAAAGAUUUAGAUAUAACUUAAGGAUUAAAUUUUAAAUUUAAUUUAAUUCUUAAAAUUAAGAUAAAAAUUAUAUAUUAUAAAUUAUAAAUUGAUGUUAUUUUUAAUUGAAAUAUAAUUUCAAUUUUUUUUUUCACAAAAUCACUUUUAAGAUAAAAAUUUCUCCCAUUUGUAAAUUAACUUUAUUCCAUUUAGAAUUUUCAAAGCUAAUAAUAUCAUAUUUUGAAUGGUGUGAACAAUUUUUUUCCAAGUGCUUGGCACGUGCUUCCACCGUUAAAAACCAAACAGUCAACGAGUAGUGAUAAAGACAAACGAAAAACCAAACAGUCAGCCAUUUAGUUGAUCAGAGUAGGCUGGGAAAGCCAUUAACAACUAAAUGAUUUCUAUAAAAUCAUUAAUUCAUUGAAAGCUAUGAUUGUCCAGUUAAUUUAGAAUUGGACAAUUUAUAUAGUCAGAAACAUUAAAAAAAUCAGUCUAUCAUAUGUAGUGAAUGAUCACUCUUAAGUUAAGGUUUGAUGGAUAUUGGUUGUAAUUAACAUCAGUUUAACCAUAAUCAAACAAGGUGAUGAUAUUUACUACAUACUAGAUAAAGAAAUAAAAUUGAAUUUGUUGUAAUUCUAAAUUUUGAUAUUUUUGAAUUCUUAAGUUUUAAUAAUAAUAUAUAUAGUCUUUUUUUAAUAUAAUUCUUUUAAAUACUCUACAAAGUUUUAACUUUAUAUAUUUAAGUUGGAAUAUGUAUAAAAUGAUAUAACCACUUUAAAUAAUCUGAAAUGUAUUUUAACAGAGUGAAAAAAGUUUACAAUAGGAAAAUUAAAAAUACUAUGUUUAUUUAUUUUUAAAGUUUAAUAACAAAAUUAUAUCAAAAUUUAAAAAAAUUUAGUGUUACAUCAACAUUUAAGAGGUUAAGAUGUUAGAAAAUGAAUUUUAAAUUUAAUUUAAUCUUAUAAAAUCACAACAUUAUUUUGUAAGAUAAACUUUUUCACGUCAUGAAAGUAUAUAUAUCAAAUAUGCAUUAAUAGACAGUGAUCCGAAAGUGAAUAAAAUAAUAUGUUUAAUAAACAAUAAAUAUCUACAACAAAUAUUUUAAUAUGAGUGACAGAAUAGGUUGAACAAACAACAUAUGUUUUUAAGACAAAUUUUAACACAUGAUUAUAAUAUUGUUAAGAGUAAGGAUGACAACAAGUCCAAUCGAACAUGAAUAAUGUCUAUCUGCAACUCGACCUGCAAAGAAAAUCUACUCCACAAUCCGUCAGCGGAUAUUUUAAAACUCAUGUAUACCUAAAAAAAGAAGAAAUAUUUUAUACAUUUUAAAAAUAAAAUUAUAAAAAUACAUAUAAUGUAAUAUAAAUUAAACUAAAAUUUAAUUUUAAUUAAAUUUUACCUAAUAAAAUAUUAUUUUAUUUUUUAAUUAAAUUUAAUUAAAAAAUAUAUAUAAAUUAAAUUAUUAUUAUUAUUUUUUGAAGGUAAUGAAUACUGUAGAAUCAGAUAGUAUAUUAUCCGCAUCCGAUAUAUUUAGAAACGAAUAUGUUUAAAAACGAAUAUUAGAAUACCUUCUAUAUAUUAUCUGUGCAUAGUAAAUAUUUGCGAAUAAUAACUAACGGUAACAGAUUUUAUCCACGGGUACUCGAACCAGCAAUUCUUUUUCUAUCCCUAGGUAAGAGUAAGGGGUAGAGUAUAAUAUGAAAUCGUCUUUGACUAUAAAAUAUUUAACCCUAAAUUGAUUGUAUAUUAUAUUAUAGGUGCAUAAUAUUUCCAAACAAGUUUAAACUCAUUCAUUUCCGGUUUUGCUUUUGAGCAACUUACUGAGGUUUGGAAGGAUCAACCCUUUUAAAACCGUGCAGCACAAAAGGGAAAGAGAGAAGGAUAAGAAUCCUAUGGUUGAAAAAAAUAAAAGGAGAAAUUGAGAAAAAGAAGAAAGAGAUUCUGAGGUAGUAUAAGAUAAAGAGUUAUUAAUUAUUACCUUUGGAUUUGAGGACAAAAAGAGCUCCUGCAUCAACAUCAUCAUGUUGGUGGUGAAGUUGAUGAACACCGUUUGGGUUCUCAGGUUUUUCAUCAGGAAACAGAGUUCCCAUCCUGUUUCUUCUGAGUGAAGGCCUUAACAGAAGAACAGAGCAAUUCAGAGCAGAGUAUAUAACACCAUAUGCAUAUGUGUGUGUAUAUAUAAAUAUAUAGCAGAAGCUCUGAGUAUUUUUACAGAAAAAGCAGUGUGAAUUUUGAUCAGAAUAGAUGUCAGUGAUGCUACUUUUAUAGACGCCUUGUGCAGUAUGCAAUGAACUAGACUUGGAAAUAGAAGAUAUAUGACCUAAGCCUAGUUCAGAUGAAAAUGCAACAAGACAAAUGCUAAUAAGAGAAACUAUUUCGAUAACAUUUAUGGUAAGAUUUUGUUAAAAAAAAUUGUUUUGUUAAUAAGUAUUUUGUACUUUUAUAAUAUUUAAUUUUUGUUGUUGGUGGAAUAUGCAGUUGAUACUUUUACUUUUCCUUGAUAUUUUUUUUAUUUUAUUUUUCUUUGACUUCUUAGUCAUCCCUUCUGUGUCUAAGAACAAGUUAAAAUUGAUUAAACGAAUUCGAUAUUAAAAGAUAAAACUAAUAAUCAUUUUCAUGAUGACACAAUUAAAUAAUAAAGUAGUUAGAUGAAAAUAACAAGUAUUUUGAUCACCCAUUCCCAAAAAAUAAAAAAUAUUUAAAUUUAAAAUGCCUUUAAAACUUAAUUAAAUUAAAAGAUAAAUAAAUAUUUUAUUGAAUAUGUUGUUUUCCUAUCUCAUAUAUUUUUUUUGCAUUAGGUUGAAACGGAAUAUUUAUCAAAUUUAUAUUAAAAUUUGUAAAAGAAUAUUUUUUUAUAAAAAUAAUUAUUAAAAGUCGAUUGACUAUUCUUGGAAAAAGUUUAACUUUAUCGAUGAUUAAAAUUUAUAAAAAAGCAAACUGACCGGUCAAUGUUAGAAAAACUUUAUCAACUAUUUUAUAUAAAUUUAAUAUUGUAUGGCUUAAAAAGUUGACAAGUAAAACAACGCAGAACAGAAUUUCAAACUUAAAUAAAAUAUUAGAUUAAACAUUCAACUUUUAAAAUUGAAAUAAAAAUAAUUUAACUCAUCAACUUUCAACACUAAAAUGAAAAUAACAGCAAAUUUUUUUUUUCUUCAACGGUUCAAUAAUCCAUCUCUAUUAACUAAUGCCACAAUUAGAAAACUAAAACAGAAAUAAGCAAGAUAUCUUUUGAAAAGAUGAAGUUAGAUCACAAUAGUUUACUUUAAGUUCUUUUUUAUUUGAUAUUGAUAACUAUAGUUUUUAUAUAGUUUGAAUUGUGAAUAAAUGAAUUUUGAAUAUAUCAAUGGGAAAAAUUGAUUUUCUAAUUUUCAUGUGUAAUGAAAUUCAAAAAAACGAAUCAUUUAUGUAAAAGAAAACCUAUAAAAAUGUUGGACUAUGCAUUACUCAACGUUAAAAUACGUAUAUUGAUGCGGUCUAAACCAUGGCCAACAUCAACUCACUUACAGAGUGCCACUUCAAGAGAAAAUAUUCGUUGAGAGAAAUUUUGUGGCUGAGCAACCUUGACGUAUGUUCUUUAAAAAGUUGACAUCAACUACGUAUUUUCAUCCCAUAGGAGACACACCCAUUGAUCAUUGUUAAGCGCGAGUGAAUUGGGCUGAGCUCCAUAUGGCGUCGCAUGUUAUAAGGAUUCGACGUCAAGUAACAUUGGUGUUAUAGACCAACGUCAAUUUAACAUCUCCCAAUAUAACAUCGAUCUCGUAUUAGACGUUAAAGACAGAAAAACACCGACGUCAAAAUUCUCUUUUGCAUUGGUGAUUUGUUGCAAAUAUAAAUAAUAUUUUAUUACUCAAACUUAAUAUUUUACAUUUUGUAUAAAUAAAUACAAUUAAUAACUAAGUCUCUUUUCGCAUGAAGUGACUUUCCCGUUUACGAAGAAUGCGACGACAAAUUUGCGAGACCUCUGAUGUUCACUUUAAUUAGCAGAUAUAGGAAGAAGAGAGAAUGAAGAAUUGCGAGAUACAUCCCUUUUUUUCUAACCCGCGGAAGUGGUCGGAUUUGGAAGGAAUUAUUUCAAAAUGUCAUAUUUAACCCUUGUCAUUUCUGAAAUGAGCAAGCCAAAUCCAAAGUAAUACCUAUAGUCGAUUUCAAACUUUUACACCACCUACCAGUCUUACCUUUAUCUCGCACCCCACCACCGUGAAAAUUCCUCUCCACCUUUACAGCACCACGUUCCACGUCACCUUACUUCCUUUUUUCCCUCUUUCAAAAUCAUGUCGCUGUCACAACCUACUCUAAAGCAAAACACCCCAUCGUCACCAUGAGUAAUGUCUCACCAACUCUCACGUCAAAACCCACAACACCAUUGCAAGUGAAGAUGAAGAUAGCAAAGACAAGGUCCUUGAGUGACCAGCUUUAGGGGCAUCUGACUACGGGUUUCUGGCUGCAGCGUGCGACAACCACAUGGCCCAUCAUGGCCCAUGACAAAAAGACAGUGAUAGGCACGACAAAGGUGACUAGAAAGGGAAACAUGUUAAAUGAUGGUGUAUGUUUUUGAGGUUUCUAGAUCAUUGUUUGAAAGUCGUUAAAACAAAAUGAUGAAGAACACGGAUGGAGAAAAAUUGUUGUUUGCAUGACUUUGUUAUGCCAUGUACCUAGUUUUUCACUAAUAUUGAAAAAGAAAUAAAAAAAAAUAAGUUUUAUUUUAUAUUUUAAAUGCCUUCAAAUGCUAUUACUAACUAAUAUUUCAUUUAUGAAGAUUAAAUGAAUAAUUAAUUAAAAAUAUAAAAUAUAUAAUAAUUAAUUACAUGAUUUUAUUUUUACUUAAUUAAAUAUCCUACUAAUAGAAAUAAUGAAAUAUCACAUAAUUAUUUAUUUUACUUAAAUAUAAAUUUAUUUUAUUUUCAAAAUUAUUUUUUAUUUUUUUUCUCUCUUAUACAAAAAAUAUUUCAAUUUACUAAAUAGUUAAACUUAUUAAAAAAAUUAUUUCAAUUUAUUAAAUUACAAUUUUAAAAAUUUUAAAAAUUAAUUUUUAUUUUUUUCUCUUUAGAAACAUUUUUACAUUUAAAUAUAGCAUUAACAAUUAUUAUUUUAUAUUAUUUUAAUAAUUAAGGAAAUUUUGGUAAUUUUCAAUUUCUACCAAUUAAAUAAUUUUUUUAUCUGUCACAUUAAUCAAAUCCUACACUAAUCCUCAUAAAAUUUAUUUCCAAAUCACUCUCAUUUACUUCUAAAUUCACUUAAACAAACAACAAUUAAUUCACCCUUAAAUCUCCUUAAACCCAUCAACUGACUCUCUUCCAAUUCCUCUCCUAGAAGUGACACAACAUAAGUGAUGAACCAUUAAUUCAACAUUUUUUAUUAAUGACUGAAUUUCUCUUUCACAACCUUAACUUUGACCAAUAAUUUUAUCAAACACUUUAAUGAACUAGUUUUUAUAAUUAUCAACUAACAACAUUUAGUCACAGUGUAUUUUAUAGGUUUUAACUUGUUUAUUCUGUUACCAUGAAUUCCUAAAUGAGUAUUCUUUCUUCUUUGAAUAUUGAGUUGACAUAAUAAUUAGUUACUAAGUACAUUAAGCUUAUAUUUUACCGAUUCGCUUUUGGAUGGUUUAUCUGGAUUGUUACAUCAUUCUUUAAGUAAUUUCUGGGAUCGAAAAAACAUUGAUAUCUUAGGAAAUUGGUCAUUUUACCGAUACAAAAGUCCUCCAAUCUCAAAUCAAAGAAACCCAAAGACUUCUAUAAUUUAUGGAUAAAUUUUGAAGUUAUCUUCCUUUUGUUCUAAGUUGUAUACAACAAAAUGUUGCACCUGUAUAUAUAUGAAUUGAAGCAUGAGAUCAUACAUUAGCAAAUAAUCGAUAAUCUUUGGCAUCAAGAACAAUCUGUCUAACUGCUGCAAUUGCUGCUAUAGCUCCCAAAGCAGAGAAAGCGACGGCAAUAGUUAGAUUCAACCAGAAAAUAAAGGUUCUCUUAGAUGGUCUAAAUGUGAAGUUGUAGAAAAUGACUGGCAAGANGAAAUCAAGAGGGAUAAAGCCAAAAGCUCCAAUAAGAGAGUUUAUAUCCCCAAAAAAAGGAAGCAUGGCUGCUAUAAUGGUUGAAAUAGUAAUAGCCAGUGAUCGAGAAAUCACUCUCGGUAUUACAUUGCGUUUCGAGAACUCAGGGCUUUUUGGAUCUCCAAAUGCUUGCUCCAGCACUUCAUUUGUUGGUUGCAAAUAAACCUGCAUUCAAAUUCAAUGCUUUAUUUCUUGUUGAAAGUUUCGUAUCGACUAGAAAUAAGACCGAAUUAUAAGAUAUAAGUGACGUGCAAAUUUUAUUUUACAAAUUAGUAUUUGAUGGUUGAAUUAGUAUGUGACUUACCACACCAACUGCUGAUAGUUGUGUUAUAGUAAAAAUGUUGAUCAUGUAAAUGAACCAUGUGGGCACCAAAGGCUUCCCAUUGUCCACAAAAUUGCUUAAUACGAGGCCUUCAGAUUCGUUGCCAAAUGCCCAAUAACCAGAAACAGAUACACUAAAGAAAGUGACUAUGAGUACAAAAUANCAGACACAUAGUCCCUUGAACAUUUUCCCUUUCACUGGUGGUGCUAGUGUUGCCUACAGAAACAUUAAGCACAAAUUAAUAAAACAAAACAAGGUUCUUUUUAAUUACAUUGUUUCAAUUUUAAAUCCAAAAGUAACAUUAUUAGGAUCAAUCACCACACAACUGAAAUAUUAUCUAUUUUGGAGUGUGAAACUCUGUCAUUAGUAAUGUCAAAAUAGACUAUCUGGUUCAAUCCAACUCAGUCUACCACAAAUUAGACAUUAGUGAGUCAAUUUAACUCGACUUACUUAUUAGCAAGCCGACAAAUAUUGAAUCUGACCAGGUUGAUGGAUUAGACGAAUUGACUCACUGACUCACUUAAUUACAAAUUUGGUUUUUAAUUAAAAAAAAAAUUCCACUUCAAAUAUAAAUAAAUUUCAAUUCAAAAUAAUGUUAAAUUUUAAAGAUAAUUCAAAAUAUAAUUAUAUAUAAUACAAUACAAAAUCAUCUUAAAUUCCAAAUUUAAUUAAAAAACAAGUAAAAGAAAUUAAAUGGAUUGACGAGUUAACCUGAUUCAUCACGAGUUCAAUUCGAAUGAGUUAAAUUUUUAGUAAAUUGAGCUCAAAAUUAACUCAAAUCAAAAUUUUAAUUUUUUCUCAAUCUAAUCUAGUCCAAACUUAAGAUGAACUAGGUUGAUUCAUCUAUUAUAAUUCUGUCACGAUUAUAUUUUUAAAAGUGUCUACUAAUAAAAGGAAAAAAAUUGUGUAAAAUUAUUAAAUAUAAUAGAAAGAAUGAUUAAUUAUUAUGAUGAACCUGAAUUUCUGGGAUUAUUCCAUUUCCAUAGGUUGUGGCAAUGAUGGCAAUUGCAUUGAAGACUCCAAAUAAGCGAUUUUCAGUGUCACCUUUUAUAGAGUAGUCCUUUUCUGGUCCUUUGGAUGACUCUCCUGAGACAAUAUUGUAAAUUGGUAACCAAGAAGGUUCGAUUCAAUUGCUAAAACAUAAAGUGGAAAUUGCUAAAUUACGAAAAGAAGAAAAAUGGUUUGAGAAAAUACCAAUGUAAAUGGAAGCAGCCGUAGCAGCAGCACUAUAGGCCAAACAGAGAAUGAGUGACAGCAGAUUAAUGUGUCUGAGUGAAUGGAAAGAUGGGAUUUGAGCCAAAAUUAGCAUAAAGCAUCCAAAUAUGAUUACAAACUCGUAAAGCUUCAUGCUCCCCUUUGGAUUUGAUAGCAAGUAAAUUGCCUGCAUUUCAUCAAUAUGAUUUUUUCUAAGGCAUAGAAUAUCAAAUAGUAUUUGAUCUAUCUUUCCAGAGAAUUGACCAACCAGACACAAUAAUAAUGAAAGACACAAGUAUAAUAUAAAUAAGAGAUAUGUAUAAAUUUAUUCUUUAAACUUAGAAUGCAAAAUUAUAAUCAGUGGUUCCAAAUUUUGAUGUUUUUUUUAUCUUUAAAUUUUAAAAAUAAAUGAAUAUCAUUUUUUUAGUUCAAUUGUAUUAAUUCUUUUUCAUGUAUCUCACAUAUUUUAUAUUAAUAUUUAAAUUAUUUAUACUAUUCAAUACGUUUUAACUCAAAUAUCAUAUUAAUACUAAAAAAACUAUAUUAAUUUAUUUAUAAUUUUUAAAAAACAAAAUAUAUAAAAACUUGAAAAAAAAAACAAAUUUUAAUUUUACUUAUAAAUUUUGAUACUAAAAAUAUAUUUACCUUAUAAUAUCACUUUAAUAAAUAAUGUAAUCUUAUAGAUUAUCGAACAAUAAAUCCUCUAGAUUUUGAAUGAUUCUAAAAAUGAAAUUUAAAUUUAAAUUAAUUUUAUAAAACUAACUAACUAAAUAAAACUUAUAUUCAUUUAUAUAUAUAAUAAAUUCGUUUAUCUCUAGUCCCUUUUUGACAUUAAAUAUAGUUUUUUACUUGAUAGAGAUAAAUAGGUUGGAUGAAGAGUUGAUGAUAAUAACCUUCAUGCAUUGGCCUCCUAACAGAGUGCAAGCCACUACAGCACCAAAACAAACUGCGAACUGAAUUGGGCCAACAAAAUAACGACCCCAGCUUGGACCUGUCAAUGAUGGAAGGAAGAAUGAAUAAUGAUGGUUAAAAGUCAACUUUAAGUCUAACUCAAUUCUAUAAAAUUGGUUUGUAAGGUGAGGUUUAUACCUCGGUGUGAAAGGGUAUGUUGGAAGUUUUAUAUUGACUAGAAAAUAGGCUAAUUUCUAAUAUACAAAUGAAGUGCAAAUCUCAUCUUACAAACUGAUUUUAUGGGAUUGUGUUAGGUUUAAAAUCAACUUUUAACAACUAUAAAGUUAUACAAGAACUUAAAUGCAUCACUUUCUUUUUAUCUAUAGUCUUAUAGAAACAAACACACUCAUUAACAAUUUAUUUAGACGAGUAGAAAACUAUAAUAAGAGCGUUUUUUUACUUUUUUUUCCUUCAGUAAGUUUUUAACUGAAAUAUUUUAUGAAUUUUAUUUCUAUUUAAUUAUUAUUAUUUUUCAUUUAUAUCCUUACUUUAUCUAACCUUUAAUUAGUUAAUUUAUUGCAAUACAGAAAUAAAAUUGAAUAAAAUAAAACAUUAUAAAUACUGAAUUUGCUGCUUGAUUAGUUCAUCUCAUUCGUUAAUUUUUUACAUACUUGGUGUUCUCAAAUGAAUACUCAUUGAAGUUUCAUACUGGCUAAUAAAUUUCAAGUGCCAUUCUUUAGAAAAAAAAUAUUAUUUUUAAUGCCACGAUUUCAAUAAAACUAAUUUGAUAAUAGAUUUAAUGUGUGCAAUAUUAAUUUGGUUAAAAAAAAAUCCGUCAAUUACUAAAUAGUGAUAACUUUUUUAAAAUGACUAAUGUAAUAAUAAUACAGCUAACUUUAAAUAACCAAAUCAAACAAACCUAGAGUCAAAUUAAGAGUACUCAUUUCUUUAAGAUAUUAAAUCUUAAAGAAAAAAAUAAUACUAUGAUGAAAAGAAAAAAUAAUAAAAGAUAAUGUUAAAUGAAUAAUAUAAAACAUUGUGUAUAUCAAGUAUUAUUAUUUUAAGAAAAAUCGACAUGUCACACUGAAUCUUGCAUCUAGGCUUUACAAAUUAAAGUGAUAACAGACACAUAUAAAAAAUGGAAGAGGUGUAAUAGAAACAACAUAAGUAAGUUACCUAAAAUAUCACGAGCCAUGUCUCUAAAUCGUAGUUGACGGUUACCAUUUUGGGCGUGGUGUUCAAGAACCCUAGAUAUUAAAUUAUAUGAAUAGAAAGUCACCAACGCUCCGAUCACCAAGCAUGAGAUCCCAGCCGUCCAUCCAAGGAAGGUGAAUGCAUACGGAAGACUUAGAAGAGGUGGUGCCACAAUCGAUGUGCUCAAAUGGUAUCCACAAUGCAACCAAGAACCUGCCAUAUUACAAUCAAUAC
Molecule: long non-coding RNA, 10371 nt
Filed under: Vigna radiata
Lineage: Eukaryota; Viridiplantae; Streptophyta; Magnoliopsida; Fabales; Fabaceae
Description: long non-coding RNA (VRAD_LNC001547)
Source: RNAcentral